GACGAACGCUGGCGGCGUGCUUAAUACAUGCAAGUCGAACGGAAAGGCCCUGCUUUUGUGGGGUGCUCGAGUGGCGAACGGGUGAGUAACACGUGAGUAACCUGCCCUUGACUUUGGGAUAACUUCAGGAAACUGGGGCUAAUACCGGAUAGGAGCUCCUGCUGCAUGGUGGGGGUUGGAAAGUUUCGGCGGUUGGGGAUGGACUCGCGGCUUAUCAGCUUGUUGGUGGGGUAGUGGCUUACCAAGGCUUUGACGGGUAGCCCGCCUGAGAGGGUGACCGGGCACAAUGGGACUGAGAUACGGACCAGACUCCUACGGGAGGCAGCAGGGGGGAAUAUUGCACAAUGGGCCGAAGCCUGAUGCAGCAACGCCGCGUGCGGGAAGACGGGCUUCGGGUUGUAAACCGCUUUCGCCUGUGACGAAGCGUGAGUGACGGUAAUGGGUAAAGAAGCACCGGCUAACUACGUG
RNAcentral lists this ribosomal RNA (468 nucleotides) under uncultured bacterium. RNAcentral describes it as "partial 16S ribosomal RNA". It matches the Rfam family "Bacterial small subunit ribosomal RNA", at positions 28 to 507 of the family's 1533-position model. The record is from RNAcentral.